This 773-nucleotide ribosomal RNA is filed under the name uncultured bacterium. RNAcentral's name for it is "bacterial SSU rRNA". It matches the Rfam family "Bacterial small subunit ribosomal RNA", at positions 8 to 798 of the family's 1533-position model. The record is from RNAcentral.
AGAGUUUGAUCAUGGCUCAGGACGAACGCUGGCGGCGUGCUUAACACAUGCAAGUCGAACGGAAAGGCCCUUCGGGGUACUCGAGUGGCGAACGGGUGAGUAACACGUGGGUGAUCUGCCCUGCACUUUGGGAUAAGCCUGGGAAACUGGGUCUAAUACCGAAUAGGACCACGCGCUUCAUGGUGUGUGGUGGAAAGCUUUUGCGGUGUGGGAUGGGCCCGCGGCCUAUCAGCUUGUUGGUGGGGUAAUGGCCUACCAAGGCGACGACGGGUAGCCGGCCUGAGAGGGUGACCGGCCACACUGGGACUGAGAUACGGCCCAGACUCCUACGGGAGGCAGCAGUGGGGAAUAUUGCACAAUGGGCGCAAGCCUGAUGCAGCGACGCCGCGUGAGGGAUGACGGCCUUCGGGUUGUAAACCUCUUUCAGUAGGGACGAAGCGAAAGUGACGGUACCUACAGAAGAAGGACCGGCCAACUACGUGCCAGCAGCCGCGGUAAUACGUAGGGUCCGAGCGUUGUCCGGAAUUACUGGGCGUAAAGAGCUCGUAGGUGGUUUGUCGCGUUGUUCGUGAAAACUCACAGCUUAACUGUGGGCGUGCGGGCGAUACGGGCAGACUAGAGUACUGCAGGGGAGACUGGAAUUCCUGGUGUAGCGGUGGAAUGCGCAGAUAUCAGGAGGAACACCGGUGGCGAAGGCGAGUCUCUGGGCAGUAACUGACGCUGAGGAGCGAAAGCGUGGGUAGCGAACAGGAUUAGAUACCCUGGUAGUCCAA